This 69-nucleotide transfer RNA is filed under the name Ptilodactylidae sp. 3 ACP-2013. RNAcentral describes it as "tRNA-Val". Lineage: Eukaryota; Metazoa; Arthropoda; Insecta; Coleoptera; Ptilodactylidae. The record is from RNAcentral.
AAGUUAUAGCUUAUUAAAAGUUUUUUAUUUACAUUAAAAAGAAAAUUGUGUAAUUCAGUUUAAUUUGAA